Neogale vison (American mink) is the source of this 143-nucleotide small nuclear RNA. Its record names the gene U4. It matches the Rfam family "U4 spliceosomal RNA". From Rfam's summary of the family: U4 small nuclear RNA (U4 snRNA) is a component of the major U2-dependent spliceosome. The structure of U4 snRNA from yeast and human has been reported. U4 snRNA presents a k-turn RNA motif in the 5p-SL related to recognition of Snu13 protein. The record is from Ensembl. Lineage: Eukaryota; Metazoa; Chordata; Mammalia; Carnivora; Mustelidae.
AGCUUUGCGCAGUGGCAGUAUUGUAGCCAAUGAGGUUUAUCCGAGGCGCCAUUAUUGCUAAUUGAAAAAUUGCUGUAGAUUUUAGGUUUGUAGUGUAUCGUUAGAGAAUGCUUUCUGUAUUCCUGGCAUUGUAUUAGACCAGG